CAGAACGAACGCUGGCGGCGCGUCUAAAGCAUGCAAGUCGAGCGGCAAGGGCAGCAAUGCCCCUAGAGCGGCGGACUGGUGAGUAACGCGUGGGUGACCUACCCUUGGGUUGGGGAUAGCCCCUAGAAAUAGGGGGUAAUACCGAAUACGGUUAUCCGGUUGUGACUGGAUAAAGAAAGGAGCUACGGCUCCGCCUGAGGAUGGGCCCGCGUCCCAUUAGCUAGUUGGUGAGGUAAAGGCCCACCAAGGCCCUGAUGGGUAGCCGGCCUGAGAGGGUGAACGGCCACACUGGGACUGAGAUACGGCCCAGACUCCUACGGGAGGCAGCAGCUAAGAAUAUUCCGCAAUGGCCGAAAGGCUGACGGAGCGACGCCGCGUGGAUGACGAAGGCCGAAAGGUUGUAAAAUUCUUUUGUUGCUGAAGAAUAAGCAGGGGAGGGAAUGCCCCUGUGAUGACGUAGGCAACG
This 466-nucleotide ribosomal RNA is filed under the name uncultured Treponema sp. RNAcentral's name for it is "bacterial SSU rRNA". It matches the Rfam family "Bacterial small subunit ribosomal RNA", at positions 25 to 484 of the family's 1533-position model. Lineage: Bacteria; Pseudomonadati; Spirochaetota; Spirochaetia; Treponematales; Treponemataceae. The record is from RNAcentral.